AGUCAAGUAAUUAAGUGCAUGUGGUGGAUGCCUUGGCAGUCAGAGGCGAUGAAAGACGUGAUAGCCUGCGAAAAGCUCCGGGGAGGCGGCAAAUAUCCUUUGAUCCGGAGAUGUCUGAAUGGGGGAACCCACCUACUUUAAGGUAGGUAUUGCAACAUGAAUACAUAGUGUUGCAAGGCGAACGAGGGGAAGUGAAACAUCUCAGUACCCUUAGGAAAAGAAAUCAAUUGAGAUUCCCUCAGUAGCGGCGAGCGAACGGGGAUCAGCCCAUUAAGUUAUGUGUGUUUUAGUGGAACGCUCUGGGAAGUGCGAACGUAGAGGGUGAUAUUCCCGUACACGAAAGGGCACACAUAAUGAUGACGAGUAGGGCGAGGCACGUGAAACCUUGUCUGAAUAUGGGGGGACCAUCCUCCAAGGCUAAAUACUCCUGACUGACCGAUAGUGAACCAGUACCGUGAGGGAAAGGCGAAAAGAACCCCUGUGAGGGGAGUGAAAUAGAUCCUGAAACCGCAUGCAUACAAGCAGUGGGAGCACCUUCGUGGUGUGACUGCGUACCUUUUGUAUAAUGGGUCAGCGACUUAUAUUCAGUAGCAAGGUUAACCGUAUAGGGGAGCCGUAGAGAAAUCGAGUCUUAAUAGGGCGUUUAGUUGCUGGGUAUAGACCCGAAACCAGGCGAUCUAUCCAUGAGCAGGUUGAAGGUUGGGUAACACUAACUGGAGGACCGAACCCACUGUCGUUGAAAAGCCAGGGGAUGACUUGUGGAUAGGGGUGAAAGGCUAAUCAAGCCUGGUGAUAGCUGGUUCUCCCCGAAAGCUAUUUAGGUAGCGCCUCGGACGAAUACCAUAGGGGGUAGAGCACUGUUUCGGCUAGGGGGUCAUCCCGACUUACCAAACCGAUGCAAACUCCGAAUACCUAUGAGUACUAUCCGGGAGACAGACUGCGGGUGCUAACGUCCGUAGUCAAGAGGAAAACAAUCCAGACCGCCAGCUAAGGCCCCAAAAUCAUAGUUAAGUGGGAAACGAUGUGGGAAGGCAUAGACAGCUAGGAGGUUGGCUUAGAAGCAGCCACCCUUUAAAGAAAGCGUAAUAGCUCACUAGUCGAGUCGGCCUGCGCGGAAGAUGUAACGGGGCUAAAACUAUGUGCCGAAGCUGCGGAUGUAUACUUUGUAUACGUGGUAGGGGAGCGUUCUGUAAGCCGAUGAAGGUGUGUUGAGAAGCAUGCUGGAGGUAUCAGAAGUGCGAAUGCUGACGUGAGUAACGACAAAACGGGUGAAAAACCCGUUCGCCGAAAGACCAAGGGUUCCAGUCCAACGUUAAUCGGGGCUGGGUGAGUCGACCCCUAAGGCGAGGCCGAAAGGCGUAGUCG
Molecule: ribosomal RNA, 1365 nt
Filed under: Acinetobacter baumannii
Lineage: Bacteria; Pseudomonadati; Pseudomonadota; Gammaproteobacteria; Moraxellales; Moraxellaceae
Description: partial 23S ribosomal RNA
Rfam family: Bacterial large subunit ribosomal RNA
Source: RNAcentral